RNAcentral lists this ribosomal RNA (435 nucleotides) under uncultured bacterium. RNAcentral describes it as "partial 16S ribosomal RNA". It matches the Rfam family "Bacterial small subunit ribosomal RNA", at positions 36 to 507 of the family's 1533-position model. The record is from RNAcentral.
CUCUCCCUCUGGCGGCAGGCUUAACACAUGCAAGUCGAGCGGGCACUUUCGGGUGUCAGCGGCGGACGGGUGAGUAACGCGUGGGAACGUGCCCUCUGGUUCGGAAUAACUCAGGGAAACUUGAGCUAAUACCGGAUACGCCCUUUUGGGGAAAGGCUUGCUGCCGGAGGAUCGGCCCGCGUCUGAUUAGCUAGUUGGUGAGGUAACGGCUCACCAAGGCGACGAGCAGUAGCUGGUCUGAGAGGAUGAUCAGCCACACUGGGACUGAGACACGGCCCAGACUCCUACGGGAGGCAGCAGUGGGGAAUAUUGGACAAUGGGCGCAAGCCUGAUCCAGCCAUGACGCGUGAGUGAUGAAGGCCUUAGGGUUGUAAAGCUCUUUUAUCCGGGACGAUAAUGACGGUACCGGAGGAAUAAGCCCCGGCUAACUUCGUG